AUGGCACGCGCCGCUGCCGCCAACCUGCGUGGCCUGGUCGGCAUUGCAGCGGCGGGCCGGAGGCGGGUGACCGCCUCCGUCGCGCCACCCCGCGCGUCGCCCGGCGGGCGCGCAUUCCGGGCCGUGGCCUCAGGCUCCGGGGGCAGGACGACUCCUGAAUCCUCCUCUUCGUCCUCGCCGGCCCUACCACAGCUGCAGCCGCGGCGCGGCUUGGCGACGAGACGAGCGGUGCUGCGUAACUUGAUUAGCGGCGGCUUAGAGAGUGAGGAUGGUAAGCUGAGCUGCGGAUAUUCAAGUUUUAAAGGGAGGAGACCUACUAUGGAGGAUCGCUACGAUGUAAAGUUCGCUAAAAUGAAGGGACAGUCAGUUAGCUUGUUUGGUGUAUUUGAUGGUCAUGCAGGAGCACUUGCCGCUGAAUAUCUAAAGGAACAUCUGCUUGACAACCUUAUCGAGCAUCCUCAGUUCCUGAGAAACCCAAAGCUUGCUCUGAAGACGACCUUCCUGAAAACUGAUGCUGAUUUCUUAGAGUCGGUAACCACUCCUUAUAGGGAGGAUGGUUCGACUGCUUUGGCUGCUGUUCUGGUUGGUGACCAAAUUUAUGUAGCAAAUGUUGGUGAUUCACGUGCUAUCGCUUUAAAAGGUGGCAAAGCUAUCCCACUCUCAGAUGACCAUAAACCUAACUUAAAGGAUGAGAGAACGAGAAUUGAGAAUGCUGGAGGUGGUGUUAGUUAUGAUGGUUUUACUUGGAGGGUUGAUGGAAUUCUGGCAAUGUCCCGUGCAUUUGGCAACCGUUCAUUGAAGAAUUAUGUGAUAGCAGAGCCUGACAUUCAGGAAACGCAGGUCAGCAGUGACUUGGAAUACCUGGUUCUCGCUACAGAUGGUCUUUGGGAUGUCGUGCAAAAUGAGGAUGUUAUUUCACUUAUGAGAGCAACGGACGAGCCUGAGGUGGCGGCAGUGAAGCUGACGGAAAUGGCCCACUCUCGGCACAGCUCAGACAACAUUACAUGCAUUGUGGUGGGAUUUCACCACUGA
Molecule: ribosomal RNA, 1032 nt
Filed under: Triticum aestivum (bread wheat)
Lineage: Eukaryota; Viridiplantae; Streptophyta; Magnoliopsida; Poales; Poaceae
Description: partial small subunit ribosomal RNA
Source: RNAcentral